UACGGGGGGGGUAAGCGUUGUUCGGAAUUACUGGGCGUAAAGGGCUCGUAGGCGGCCAACUAAGUCAUACGUGAAAUCCCUCAGCUUAACUGGGGAACUGCGUCUGAUACUGGAUGGCUUGAGUUUGGGAGAGGGAUGCGGAAUUCCAGGUGUAGCGGUGAAAUGCGUAGAUAUCAGGAGGAACACCGGUGGCGAAGGCGGGUCUCUGGGCAACAACUGACGCUGAGGAGCGAAAGCGUGGGGAGCGAACAGG
Molecule: ribosomal RNA, 253 nt
Filed under: uncultured bacterium
Lineage: Bacteria
Description: partial 16S ribosomal RNA
Rfam family: Bacterial small subunit ribosomal RNA
Source: RNAcentral